UCCGGAGGGUGCAAGCGUUAGCCGGAAUCACUGGGUGUAAAGGGUGCGUAGGCGGCGUGGUAAGUCAGAGGUGAAAGCCCGCAGCUUAACUGCGGGCCUGCAUUUGAAACUGCGGAGCUUGAAAGAGGGUGAGGACAGCGGAACGUGAAGUGUAGCGGUGAAAUGCAUAGAUAUGUGGCAGAACACCAAUUGCGAAGGCAGCUGGCUGGGCUUUCUCUGACGCUGAGGAACGAAAGCGUGGGGAGCGAACAGG
This 253-nucleotide ribosomal RNA is filed under the name uncultured bacterium. Its description in RNAcentral is "partial 16S ribosomal RNA". It matches the Rfam family "Bacterial small subunit ribosomal RNA", at positions 524 to 776 of the family's 1533-position model. The record is from RNAcentral.